AGCUAGUCCUGGUGCAGUGGUGUUUACAAUUGAUUAAUCACAAUCAAUUACGGGUUUCUUUGGUCCUUCUCCAGUUCUACUGCUUCACUUGACUAGCCAUAG
This 102-nucleotide Y RNA is filed under the name Saimiri boliviensis boliviensis (Bolivian squirrel monkey). RNAcentral's name for it is "Y RNA (ENSSBOG00000012491.1)". It matches the Rfam family "Y RNA". Rfam says of the family: Y RNAs are components of the Ro ribonucleoprotein particle (Ro RNP), in association with Ro60 and La proteins. Lineage: Eukaryota; Metazoa; Chordata; Mammalia; Primates; Cebidae. The record is from Rfam by way of RNAcentral.